AGCAAAGUCUCCGGGCGCGGACGCUCUAGGCUGACAGCGGCCAGGGAAAAAGGCUGUGGCCAGGGCUUGGGUCUCUGAGGACGACGUUUGCGGUCAGUGAAAGCAAAGACAUGUAGAAGUUAUGGAAGCAAACUUGCCCUUACUAAGGUCUUCCAGAAUGGACGGAUCCCCCCUCACAUCUCUAUAAGCUGUCCUCUCACAUGGUUUUACUGUGUGAGAAUGUUGGACCCCUGGAUCUGGAGUUAAAGACCUCUGUAAGCUGCCAUGUGAAUGCUGGGACUUGAAUCAGCAGUGAUCCCAAGACAGUAGGACAGGGGCUGGAGAUAGGAGUGAUGAAGAGGAUGUAUUGCUCUUCCAGAGGACUGGAGUUCAACUCCCACCUACCCCAUCAGACUGCUCACAACUACCUCUACCUCAAGCUCCAAAAGAAUCUCUGGCCUCUGCAAGCAAAAUUCACUUACUGGCAUGUUCCUACCAUAACUAAAACUUUAAACAACAAUAAUAAAAAGACAACUGGGUAAUCAGCAUCUUUCUACUGAUGUCAUAGCUGGGUGGAGCUAUGGAAAGCAUUAGGACAGAACUACAAGGGAGGAGGAUGGCAGCUGAGUAAAAAAAAAAAAAAAAAAA
Psammomys obesus (fat sand rat) is the source of this 627-nucleotide long non-coding RNA. RefSeq lists it as uncharacterized. Lineage: Eukaryota; Metazoa; Chordata; Mammalia; Rodentia; Muridae. The transcript has 3 exons. The record is from RefSeq and is a predicted model, not a curated record.